UUUGUAUUAAAGAAUUAAAUGGAUGAAAUAUGAAGUUUUAUUAAAAGAAAAAGGGGUGAAAAGAACAAAGUUUUGUCCAUCUUUGUUCAUCAUAGCUGAAGUUAGAGAAGAGAAAGGAGAGGAGAAAGCUCUUGAGUAUUCGGUCAUUAGGAGGAGGAAAAUUGAAGGUAAUCCCCAACCAUAGUGGGCUUGGAGCUGUGAGGGAAUUCGGAGUGGCCACCCGUUCUGAAAGUUUGAUUUUCUUCUGGUGAACUGGACAUCCUUUUAUUUACGUUUGAAGUUUUGGGUUUUUAAAUGUAAUAAGGCCGCUUAAUUA
This is a long non-coding RNA of Gossypium arboreum, 316 nucleotides long. RefSeq lists it as uncharacterized. The record is from RefSeq and is a predicted model, not a curated record. Lineage: Eukaryota; Viridiplantae; Streptophyta; Magnoliopsida; Malvales; Malvaceae. The transcript is spliced from 2 exons.